Molecule: long non-coding RNA, 844 nt
Filed under: Lepisosteus oculatus (spotted gar)
Lineage: Eukaryota; Metazoa; Chordata; Actinopteri; Semionotiformes; Lepisosteidae
Description: lncRNA (ENSLOCG00000021370.1)
Source: RNAcentral
CAUUUGCAUAGGUCGAGCGGGCUAGAACAAAUACGUCACUUCACUUGUCACCAGCAGGGGGGUGGUUGAGACCCGCGUCAAAGGAGACAGGAAAGUGUUAAGUGAGUUAAGUUUUAAGAAUGCAGGCGAGAGUGACAGGUAAUCUCCCUCACUGCUCUGUCUGCCGGGAGCACGCUUGGGACAGCGCACAGCUGGGGGGGAAAGGCCAGGGAAUAAAUAUUUGAUUAAGAAGGAAGACUGUCGCUGCGGGAGACGACGACGCAGGAGUGUAGCACCAGCCCCGUUCAACGGCACUGAACCCAGUUCGCCAGAAGGGGGCAGCAGACAUUGCAGAGGCGCUUUGGGCGGGACAACCUGCUUGGAGGGUGUGCUCCUGAAAACCUAUCGCUGUAAUUUAAUGUUAUACCAUUGUUUUUCUUUAUAUAGUACAAUAAUUCACCUGGCCAAAAAUACCAUGUUACAGCUGGAUAUAUCCUGCUGCAGUAAUCCAUCACCGGACUGCCGAUUUGCUACCAGGCGCGCUGGCGUGACCACGACGCGGAGUCUCUCGGAUGCCUUGCGCUUCAUCACAGCUAAACGGAUUAGCGCGGCAGCCUGUACCCACCCAUGAGCAGCUCUGUCACACAAGGCGGGUAGAACAGACCCUGGCGUAAAACGGUGACAAAUGCAAUUCUGAAAUUGUUUGUAGCCGCAAUGAUAGUAGGAGAUGUGGUGCCAUCUGUAUUUACAAACUGAAAUGUAAAUACUGUACAAGCUGGGUAAAUGAGCGAUUAUGUUUUGAAUAUUCGUAUUCAAAAUAACAUUUUAACAAGUCAUUGCAGUGAGAAUAAAAAUAAUAACUUUU